RNAcentral lists this ribosomal RNA (173 nucleotides) under uncultured bacterium. RNAcentral's name for it is "partial 16S ribosomal RNA". It matches the Rfam family "Bacterial small subunit ribosomal RNA", at positions 118 to 291 of the family's 1533-position model. The record is from RNAcentral.
UGAGGAACCCACCCUGGAGACCGGGAUAACCCUCCGAAAGGAGAGCUAAUACCGGAUGUCCUCCUCGGAUCGCAUGAUCUGAUGAGGAAAUGGAUUCCGCUCCAGGACGGCCUCGCGGCCUAUCAGCUAGUUGGUGAGGUAACGGCUCAUCAAGGCGACGACGGGUAGCUGGU